Molecule: ribosomal RNA, 384 nt
Filed under: Triticum aestivum (bread wheat)
Lineage: Eukaryota; Viridiplantae; Streptophyta; Magnoliopsida; Poales; Poaceae
Description: partial small subunit ribosomal RNA
Source: RNAcentral
AUGAAAGUCAAAGAGUUCUACCUUGUGGGGAGGAGGGUGUUACUUAAUUCUGGUAACCUUGCUAGAGUGUGGGUUGAUUGUAUCAAUAAUGAUACUCCUCUGUGUGAUCAAUACCAGGCGUUGUAUAGUGUGUGUAAUGAUCAGGGGAUCACUGUGGCUAGUUUUAAAAAUGGUGUGGAUGAUAAUUUCUUUCGGAGACGUCUCCACCCCCCUUUAAUAGAGCAGUGGAGGGAAAUGCAAAAUGUGGUAGCCUCGUGGUCAACCAACAAUGAACCUGAUCAGGUUGUGUGGGCCUUGGGGGGAAAGAAGGGCAAGUUCACCACCAAGUCAGUUUACAAGUACCAGGAAAGAACCCUGGCUGGGUGUAACUAUAAAUGGAUUUGA